This is a non-coding RNA of Odocoileus virginianus texanus, 196 nucleotides long. NCBI's taxonomy places the organism in Eukaryota, Metazoa, Chordata, Mammalia, Artiodactyla, Cervidae. The record is from RefSeq and is a predicted model, not a curated record.
GUAAGCCGGACUCGUGCUGUUUCUGGGCGGCCGCGGGAAAGCGUCUGAGGAGUUUAUUUCACGCAGGGAUGAGAUGAGGUUGUGUGGGCAGAAGCAUUUUCUAAAAUGGUAUUUCUUGUAGUCGUAUUCAUAUACCGGUUUUAGGAAGGCUUGGGACCUUUGAAACUCAGGUUCUACGAAGAGCUCCUUUUAGAGC